UCACAUAUAUAAUUAAAUCACAUUAUCAUACUUGCAAACAUACGCCAAGAGACCGGAGCCCCUUGACAAACAUAAUCAUAGUUUGAGUCGAUGGCUUAAGUCCCAUGACCAAACACAUACAUAAAUCAAUGGCUUAGGUCCCAUGAUCGAUCAAUGGCUUAGGUCCCAUGAUCACACAUAACAUAGAUCAAUGGCUUAGGUCCCAUGAUCGCACAUAACAUAGAUCAAUGGCUUAGGUCCCAUGAUCGCAC
RNAcentral lists this long non-coding RNA (251 nucleotides) under Salvia miltiorrhiza (redroot sage). Its description in RNAcentral is "long non-coding RNA (SMIL_LNC014285)". Lineage: Eukaryota; Viridiplantae; Streptophyta; Magnoliopsida; Lamiales; Lamiaceae. The record is from RNAcentral.